Molecule: ribosomal RNA, 253 nt
Filed under: uncultured bacterium
Lineage: Bacteria
Description: partial 16S ribosomal RNA
Rfam family: Bacterial small subunit ribosomal RNA
Source: RNAcentral
UACAGAGGGUGCAAGCGUUAAUCGGAGUUACUGGGCGUAAAGGGCGCGUAGGCGGUUAUUUAAGUUGGAUGUGAAAUCCCUGGGCUUAACCUAGGAACUGCAUUCGAAACUGGGUAACUGGAGUACUGUAGAGGGUAGUGGAAUUUCCGGUGUAGCGGUGAAAUGCGUAGAGAUCGGAAGGAACACCAGUGGCGAAGGCGGCUACCUGGACAGAUACUGACGCUGAGGCGCGAGAGCGUGGGGAGCAAACAGG